GACGAACGCUGGCGGCGUGCUUAACACAUGCAAGUCGAACGGAAAGGCCCUGCUUGCAGGGUGCUCGAGUGGCGAAUGGGUGAGUAACACGUGGGUGAUCUGCCCCUUACUUUGGGAUAAGCCUGGGAAACUGGGUCUAAUACUGGAUAGGACCAUGCUGUAGGUGGUGUGGUGGAAAGAUUAGUUUCGGUUAGGGAUGAGCUCGCGGCCUAUCAGCUUGUUGGUGGGGUAAUGGCCUACCAAGGCGUCGACGGGUAGCCGGCCUGAGAGGGUGGACGGCCACAUUGGGACUGAGAUACGGCCCAGACUCCUACGGGAGGCAGCAGUGGGGAAGAUUGCACAAUGGGCGCAAGCCGGAUGCAGCGACGCCGCGUGGGGGAUGACGGCCUUCGGGUUGUAAACUCCUUUCAGCCAUGACGAAGCCCUUGUGGUGACGGUAGUGGUAGAAGAAGCACCGGCUAACUACGUG
RNAcentral lists this ribosomal RNA (469 nucleotides) under uncultured bacterium. RNAcentral's name for it is "partial 16S ribosomal RNA". It matches the Rfam family "Bacterial small subunit ribosomal RNA", at positions 28 to 507 of the family's 1533-position model. The record is from RNAcentral.